AAAAUAUACAGUUUAGGAGUAGACUGAUCAGAUUUUUCUCCACGUUGGUUUUGGACUCCACCUGCUGAUCACAUAAUCAAAAAAAAGCCAAAGCUGAGCCUUGAUUGGUUGGCGAAACACAAAGACCGAAUCUGAAUUGCUUCCCUACACAGAAAAUUUCCAGAGUUGAAAAAUCUGGAGUUAGGCAAAAAAGUGUGAAAGAGUUGGAUUUCAGGAGUUUAUUUUUUAAAUGUGACUAUACUAAGUGUUAUAUUUACUCUUUAGAGUCGUCACAUUUUUUAGUUUAUUCAUGGGUGUACAGGAAUCUCCCGUUAACAAACUGUGGAGUUGAUGGCUGGGUGUGGUUGGGUGGGGCUGGAGUGAACUGCAGAGCUAUGUGUCGGGGCAUGUCCAGGUGUAGCAGAACUCCUCGCAGCACAAAUUAUAGCGCCAGAACUUCGAGGCAUUAUGAGCAGUGGAACUUUGUUGCAAGUUCAGCAGAAAUUUCUCGUACCAGAGACUACAGCACUAAAGGUCACAGAUGACCAGGGUGUCGAGGUUGAAGAUGUUUUUCCAGAAGUUGCUACAUAAAGAAACUUGAGCCUUCAUCUGAAGAAUCAUCUCAGACCUUUGGCUGUUCAGACAGAGAAUGUGACUCUUACACCAUGCGAUUUGACUGAGCCACAAGAAGAAUAUGACAGACCAAGCUCCCCAAGUCUCAAGGAUACGUUGUCAUUCUGUGUGCAAUUUUACCGUCCUGAAUGUGAUAAAAUGCACUGUUUACUGUUGUUUUUUUUGUAUGUGAUGCACUGGCUAUUUCUUUAUGCAAAAUUUGUAUUGCAGUUUUGCCAAUGUUUUUUUUUUUGUAAAUUUGGUACAUGGUAUCACAACAAUGUUUUAUGUAUGGUGUGUCUGAAAA
Molecule: long non-coding RNA, 898 nt
Organism: Oryzias latipes (Japanese medaka)
Lineage: Eukaryota; Metazoa; Chordata; Actinopteri; Beloniformes; Adrianichthyidae
Source: RefSeq, a predicted model, not a curated record